AGAGUUUGAUCCUGGCUCAGAUUGAACGCUGGCGGCAUGCUUUACACAUGCAAGUCGAACGGCAGCGGGGGCUUCGGCCUGCCGGCGAGUGGCGAACGGGUGAGUAAUGCAUCGGAACGUGCCCAGUCAUGGGGGAUAACUACGCGAAAGCGUAGCUAAUACCGCAUACGCCCUGAGGGGGAAAGCGGGGGAUCGCAAGACCUCGCGUGAUUGGAGCGGCCGAUGUCGGAUUAGCUGGUUGGUGGGGUAAAGGCCUACCAAGGCGACGAUCCGUAGCGGGUCUGAGAGGAUGAUCCGCCACACUGGGACCGAGACACGGCCCAGACUCCUACGGGAGGCAGCAGUGGGGAAUUUUGGACAAUGGGGGCAACCCUGAUCCAGCCAUGCCGCGUGAGUGAAGAAGGCCUUCGGGUUGUAAAGCUCUUUCAGACGGAAAGAAAUCGGGCGGGUG
RNAcentral lists this ribosomal RNA (451 nucleotides) under uncultured bacterium. RNAcentral's name for it is "bacterial SSU rRNA". It matches the Rfam family "Bacterial small subunit ribosomal RNA", at positions 8 to 461 of the family's 1533-position model. The record is from RNAcentral.